Molecule: non-coding RNA, 72 nt
Organism: Lodderomyces oxycetoniae
Lineage: Eukaryota; Fungi; Ascomycota; Pichiomycetes; Serinales; Debaryomycetaceae
Source: the annotation of a RefSeq genome assembly
CUUGCUGUAACGUAGUGGUAACGUGCCUAUAUUGGGUGUAGGAAAUCAAAGGUUCAAAUCCUUUCAGCUUGA